Molecule: ribosomal RNA, 723 nt
Filed under: Helisoma newberryi
Lineage: Eukaryota; Metazoa; Mollusca; Gastropoda; Planorbidae
Description: eukaryotic LSU rRNA
Rfam family: Eukaryotic large subunit ribosomal RNA
Source: RNAcentral
AAACCGCUCAGAGGUAAACGGGUGGUUCCGCAAAAGUCAGCCCGUGGAAUUCAGCGCGGCGCUCGGCCUGGGGCUGCUGCGGGUCGGGAUCCCUCGGACCCGCCUGCGGCGUCGCACUGGGCCUCGCCGCGUGCACUUUCCAUGGGCAGAGCGCUACGAUCGGUUUCUCGGCGGCGAUUAGCCCCGCUGCUUUGCGUGGCACGGCUUUCGGGUCGUGCCUCGGGCGGCGGCGGUGAGCUGCUGGGGGACCGAGGAACGGCCGUUCGCUUUGAGGCUGCUCGGCCUCGCGGAGGAGUUCGACUGGCGGGGACUGGGCAACCGUGCCCGCCGACCGCUUUUCUGUGCUGGAUCGGGCUCGCCGGGCGAGCAUGGGGUCAGUGGCGAGUCUGUCGGCCUACCACCCGACCCGUCUUGAAACACGGACCAAGGAGUCUAACAUGCGCGCGAGUCAUUGGGCUGUACGAAACCCAAAGGCGCAGUGAAAGCGAGGGUCGCCCCGGGCUGACCCAGGUGGGAUCCUUUUGCUUCGCAGGAGGCGCACCACCGGCCCGUCCCGUCUGCGCUGUCAGUGGGGCGGAGCUAGAGCGCGCACGCUGGGACCCGAAAGAUGGUGAACUAUGCCUGAGUAGAACGAAGCCAGAGGAAACUCUGGUGGAAGUCCGUAGCGAUUCUGACGUGCAAAUCGAUCGUCAAACUUUGGUAUAGGGGCGAAAGACUAAUCGA